This 158-nucleotide ribosomal RNA is filed under the name Haploporus cf. odorus KUC20121123-29. RNAcentral's name for it is "5.8S ribosomal RNA". It matches the Rfam family "5.8S ribosomal RNA". Rfam says of the family: 5.8S ribosomal RNA (5.8S rRNA) is a component of the large subunit of the eukaryotic ribosome. It is transcribed by RNA polymerase I as part of the 45S precursor that also contains 18S and 28S rRNA. Lineage: Eukaryota; Fungi; Basidiomycota; Agaricomycetes; Polyporales; Polyporaceae. The record is from RNAcentral.
CAACUUUCAGCAACGGAUCUCUUGGCUCUCGCAUCGAUGAAGAACGCAGCGAAAUGCGAUAAGUAAUGUGAAUUGCAGAAUUCAGUGAAUCAUCGAAUCUUUGAACGCACCUUGCGCUCCUUAGUAUUCUGAGGAGCAUGCCUGUUUGAGUGUCAUGA